This 1609-nucleotide long non-coding RNA is filed under the name Hordeum vulgare. RNAcentral's name for it is "long non-coding RNA (HVUL_LNC016645)". The record is from RNAcentral. Lineage: Eukaryota; Viridiplantae; Streptophyta; Magnoliopsida; Poales; Poaceae.
AUACAAUCAAUGUAGUUCCGGUACGGGCUACAAAACAAGGAAAAUGCUAUGCUACCCGCUGCAGGCCCACGAUCACGACCACGGCUCAGACCUCUGGAUAGUUCACGUAAAGGCGAUCUGUCUCCUCGUCGUACUGCCACGCCAGCUGGGUGCCGUCGGGAUCAUCUGCCUCUGGGGUACCUGUACCUGCUGGGAGUGUCGGAGGAAUCCGUGAGCCACGGGGACUCAGCAAUCUAAGACCUUGGUGCCAGAACUAGUCAUGUUAUUGGGUAAGGAAGGGGUGAAGUGUUUCAGGUUGUUGCAUCCUAAGUUUGAACAAGUGGCUAGCUUACGCGAAGGAGAAGUGACAGUGUUCUAUACUAACGAUCGUGAUUACUUGAUCAGAAAGUGAUCCUGAACACCUACCUACGGCAUUCAUAACCCCACCGUGUUCCCGAUCGAAGAGAGAUCUUCGAAGGGACAGUCACGGUUACUCACACAGUUGGCAUAUUUUAUUAGUUUUUGUUUAAGUUUUCUAAUACCGGAUGUUAACAAAAUAUUCCAAGUUGCCACAUAACCGCGGGCACGGCUUUCCGAAAGAUUAAACCCUGCAGGGGUGCUCCAACUAGUCCAUCACAAACGUACACAGGCCGCAAAGUCAUCCUCUAUCACGAAUCUCGUGAUCUCGUCGGAUUCCUUAAAGGAAAACCUCAACUCUGGGGAAAACCAAAGCCUCACCGGGAUUCCUAUACGCAAGAUAUACCGCUAAGGCAAGACAAGGCUAGCAGGACCUCCCGUCGUGUCGACGACCCUGAUAAGAGCCGCGUAUCUCAGUCUCAGGACACGACAGAUGAGCUAGACGUCGGGAUGGCUAAACCUCUGGGUGACCAGUGGGGCCCCGGACAUCGCUCAGGUGGGACCAACACUCAUGGGGAGCACUGGCCCGGGUUGUUGAUUAAAUUCCUCGGGGUAGCUAUUCCCUAUGCAGAUUAUUAUGUGAUUAGCAGAUUAAAACCAAAGUUGGGUCCUGCCGGACAAGCCUUAGCACUACGCGAUUUAUCAAGGGGGUCCCCAUAACAACCCCGAACGUGUUAGGAGCGAUCAUUAUGGAAUCAAACACCGGUAACCGGUAACUAAGGCGGCAAUAACGGAACAAGACACCCGGCAAAAGGGCUAGGCCUCCCGUCAUUUACCUAAUAUAUAGAUACAUUAAUUAAAUAACAGAAGUUAAGAUAAUGAUAUCAAGCUCAUGGCAACUCAAGAGUUAUAAACACCUGCAACUACAAUGCUAACAUUAGUAGCUGAGCAAGCCUACCUAGCCAUGCAAAUUUGCUAGGAAAGAGUAAGGUGUUUGGGCUCAUGGCAUAUGAAGAGGCAAUAUACUUUCAGAGGUAGGCAGCGAGCAAUAUGACGUGGAAUCGAAACUAACAUAACAAGUCUAGAUAUGGGAUCAAGGUCAUGUCAUCUUGCCUGUGAUAUCCUCAGCUUGGAAUGGUUCUGGAUCGUCCUGCACGUACUCUCCUGACUCCACGUAAUCGGUCUCCGCUCCCGGUGCUACCCAACACAAGAAUGACAGCCAAUGAACAGCAGCACCACAAAAUGCAGCAAUCACAUGAUGCAUGAGAUGAAA